CCGGCGAACGGGUGCGGAACACGUGAGCGACCCUGCCCCUGGGAGUGGGGGAUAGCCGGCCCAACGGCCGGGUAAUACCGCAUACGGCCUGCCCCGUUGGGGGCGAGGCGAAACUCGCGCAAGCGGGGUUCUAGGAGGGGCUCGCGGCCUAUCAGCUAGUUGGGGAGGUAACGGCUUCCCAAGGCGAUGACGGGUAGCUGGUCUGAGAGGAUGGCCAGCCACAUUGGGACUGAGAGACGGCCCAG
RNAcentral lists this ribosomal RNA (245 nucleotides) under uncultured bacterium. RNAcentral's name for it is "partial 16S ribosomal RNA". It matches the Rfam family "Bacterial small subunit ribosomal RNA", at positions 95 to 334 of the family's 1533-position model. The record is from RNAcentral.